Molecule: ribosomal RNA, 483 nt
Filed under: uncultured bacterium
Lineage: Bacteria
Description: partial 16S ribosomal RNA
Rfam family: Bacterial small subunit ribosomal RNA
Source: RNAcentral
AUUGAACGCUGGCGGCAUGCUUUACACAUGCAAGUCGAACGGCAGCACGGGGGCAACCCUGGUGGCGAGUGGCGAACGGGUGAGUAAUACAUCGGAACGUGCCCGGUCGUGGGGGAUAACGUAGCGAAAGUUACGCUAAUACCGCAUACGAUCUGAGGAUGAAAGCGGGGGACCUUCGGGCCUCGCGCGAUCGGAGCGGCCGAUGUCAGAUUAGGUAGUUGGUGGGUAAAGGCCUACCAAGCCGACGAUCUGUAGCUGGUCUGAGAGGACGACCAGCCACACUGGGACUGAGACACGGCCCAGACUCCUACGGGAGGCAGCAGUGGGGAAUUUUGGACAAUGGGCGCAAGCCUGAUCCAGCCAUUCCGCGUGCAGGACGAAGGCCUUCGGGUUGUAAACUGCUUUUGUAUGGAACGAAAAGGCUCUGGCUAAUACCUGGGGCUCAUGACGGUACCGUAAGAAUAAGCACCGGCUAACUACGUG